This 513-nucleotide ribosomal RNA is filed under the name Bipolaris sp. CID1670. Its description in RNAcentral is "eukaryotic LSU rRNA". The stretch from base 129 to 282 matches the Rfam family "5.8S ribosomal RNA". The record is from RNAcentral. Lineage: Eukaryota; Fungi; Ascomycota; Dothideomycetes; Pleosporales; Pleosporaceae.
UUUUUUUCACCCAUGUCUUUUGCGCACUUGUUGUUUCCUGGGCGGGUUCGCCCGCCACCAGGACCAAACCAUAAACCUUUUUUUUAUGCAGUUGCAAUCAGCGUCAGUAAAAACAAUGUAAUUAUUACAACUUUCAACAACGGAUCUCUUGGUUCUGGCAUCGAUGAAGAACGCAGCGAAAUGCGAUACGUAGUGUGAAUUGCAGAAUUCAGUGAAUCAUCGAAUCUUUGAACGCACAUUGCGCCCUUUGGUAUUCCAAAGGGCAUGCCUGUUCGAGCGUCAUUUGUACCUUCAAGCUUUGCUUGGUGUUGGGCGUUUUUUGUCUCCCUCUUUCUGGGAGACUCGCCUUAAAACGAUUGGCAGCCGGCCUACUGGUUUCGGAGCGCAGCACAUAUUUUGCGCUUUGUAUCAGGAGAAAAGGACGGUAAUCCAUCAAGACUCUACAUUUUUAACUUUUGACCUCGGAUCAGGUAGGGAUACCCGCUGAACUUAAGCAUAUCAAUAAGCGGAGGA